UACGUAGGGACCGAGCGUUGUCCCGAAUCAUUGGGCGUAAAGAGCGUGUAGGCGGCUAUUUAAGUCCUGCGUGAAAUCCUGCGGCUCAACCGCAGACGGUCGUGGGAAACUGGAUGGCUAGAGUGCGGGAGAGGAGAGUGGAAUUCCCGGUGUAGCGGUGAAAUGCGCAGAUAUCGGGAAGAACACCCGUGGCGAAGGCGGCUCUCUGGAACGCAACUGACGCUGAGACGCGAAAGCGUGGGGAGCAAACAGG
This 253-nucleotide ribosomal RNA is filed under the name uncultured bacterium. Its description in RNAcentral is "partial 16S ribosomal RNA". It matches the Rfam family "Bacterial small subunit ribosomal RNA", at positions 524 to 776 of the family's 1533-position model. The record is from RNAcentral.